AGUCCUAUAGCUCAGUGGUCAGAGCACUCGCCUCGUAAGCGAGAGACCUGGGUUCGAUUCCCGGCAGGGCGA
This 72-nucleotide transfer RNA is filed under the name Callorhinchus milii (elephant shark). Its description in RNAcentral is "tRNA-Thr (CGT) (tRNA-Thr-CGT-22-1)". It matches the Rfam family "tRNA". Rfam says of the family: Transfer RNA (tRNA) molecules are approximately 80 nucleotides in length. Their secondary structure includes four short double-helical elements and three loops (D, anti-codon, and T loops). The record is from Rfam by way of RNAcentral. Lineage: Eukaryota; Metazoa; Chordata; Chondrichthyes; Chimaeriformes; Callorhinchidae.